UCCAGGAGCGCGCUUGAGCGGACGCUGCCUACCGGUGGCCGGGCGGGAUGUAACCCGCUGCUGAGCUGGCAGCUCUGUGUCGCUAGGCUUCGGCCCGGCCGCCGCCGCACAUAAGCUGCGAGGAGGAGCUUUACGACUUCCCGGUCUUCGGGGCCGGGCGCAGCAAGGGCCAGACUCUGCGCUAGCAGGCGCUGCGCGCCAACCGGCCGGCACCUGUCGCAGAAGGUGCAACCGAUCGCACUGUCGCGCCGAAGCUCCUCAAUGGCCAGCGCCAGCUGCAGCCCCGGCCGCCCACUCGCCUCACCUGAGCCUGGGAGCUUGAAAAAUCACAUUUGAGAAGAGGAUUGGAUCCUAGCCAUAACAUAAAUAUAAGGGUGGAACCAAAGUUUUAAUCAAAGAAGGUGGUGUUCAGUUGCUGCUUACAAUAGUUGAUACCCCAGGAUUUGGAGAUGCAGUGGAUAACAGUAAUUGCUGGCAGCCUGUUAUCAAUUACAUUGAUAUUAAAUUUGAGGACUACCUAAAUGCAGAAUCGCGAGUGAACAGAUGUCAGAUGCCUGGUAACAGGGUGCAGUGUUGUUUAUACUUCAUUGCUCCUUCAGGACAUGGACCAUUACAUAACUGAAGACUCCCACCUUCAGGCAGGAUUGGGUAGUACGUGUUUGUAACUACCUGGCAUUGCCUUUUGUUGAGGAAGGGUAGAUGUCUACCCAAAUGGAAUAUUGAGUAUCAGAGACUUCAAAUGAUAACUUUUGUUUGUUUGGAGAAAAUCUUGAGGACGUGAUCACUGUACAAAAGCAUGGCAAAAUGAGGAAACCACUGACAGGUGAAGAAUUUGCACAAUGGAAAACCACCUUGACCAUCUCAUGACUUUAUACAGGAAUCGGAGACAUCCAAGGCCAUUCCAUUUCUAAAUCACACUUAUCCCUCAAUCAAGUCAGUGACUGGAUCAUCUCCUAAGGUUUCACCUGCUUUGCAUCAGGGCAGGGUUCCACUCCCAUUGCCCAGGCUGGAGUGCAGUGGCGUGAUCUUGGCUCACUGCAACCCCCUCCUCCCCUAUUCAAGCAAUUCUUCUGCCUCAGUCUUCUAAGUGGCUGGGACUACAAGCGCGUGCCACCACACCCGCGCUUAUAAUAGAAAAUAAUUUUUCUGUUUUUUUGUAGGGAUGGGGUUUCACCAUGUUGGCCAGGCUGGCCUCGAACUCCUGAGCUCAAGUGAUCAACCUGCCUCUGCCUCCCAAAGUGCUGGGAUUACAGGUUGAGUUGGACUAUGGAUCAGGUACUGUGCUCAGCAUCAGAAAAUGGGAUGACAAUGAACAGAGUAACAGGACUAUAUUUCUGAAAAAGGAUGAACUUACUGGAAACAGGAUUGCGUGCCUGAAAUAUAUCCAAAUGGAUAUAAAUGUCAACUCAGUUCUGGGCUGGAGAUAUAGAUUUGGAAUGCACCAACAAUGCAGAUGGUAAUCCUGGCAUGCGAGUAGGUGAGAUCAUCCAGGGAGAUGGCCUAUAAUGAGAGCCUACAACAUGUCAGGGCUCAAGCACCUCUUACUGCCUCCUCACUCUGGAACCAAAUGCCUUACUUGACAGGAUCACAGAAUGUGAAUUUUGAACAGAUCUGAAAAGUUAUUAAGUUCAACUCCACAGAGGUUCCUAGGAGAAUGUUAACAGUCCAGACCUUUUUCACUACAUCAACCACGGAUGAUUGGCAUAUAAAAUCCUACUUAACCUUUACAUAACUGCAAUACCAGGAAACAAAUAUGUCAAUAAAAGGAAACA
RNAcentral lists this long non-coding RNA (1772 nucleotides) under Homo sapiens (human). Its description in RNAcentral is "LHRI_LNC980.2". Lineage: Eukaryota; Metazoa; Chordata; Mammalia; Primates; Hominidae. The record is from RNAcentral.